CCCGUGAUAGCUCAGUUGGUAGGGCGGAGGACUGUAGAUCCUUAGGUCGCUGGUUCAAAUCCGGCUCGCGGGA
Molecule: transfer RNA, 73 nt
Filed under: Haliotis rufescens (red abalone)
Lineage: Eukaryota; Metazoa; Mollusca; Gastropoda; Lepetellida; Haliotidae
Description: tRNA-Tyr
Rfam family: tRNA
About the family: Transfer RNA (tRNA) molecules are approximately 80 nucleotides in length.
Source: RNAcentral